GUGAGUGUAGCUCAGCUGGUAGAGCGUCGGCUUGUGGUGCCGGAUGUCGCGGGUUCGAGCCCCGUCACUCACCCCA
RNAcentral lists this transfer RNA (76 nucleotides) under candidate division WWE3 bacterium. Its description in RNAcentral is "tRNA-His". It matches the Rfam family "tRNA". From Rfam's summary of the family: Transfer RNA (tRNA) molecules are approximately 80 nucleotides in length. Their secondary structure includes four short double-helical elements and three loops (D, anti-codon, and T loops). Further hydrogen bonds mediate the characteristic L-shaped molecular structure. tRNAs have two regions of fundamental functional importance: the anti-codon, which is responsible for specific mRNA codon recognition, and the 3' end, to which the tRNAs corresponding amino acid is attached (by aminoacyl-tRNA synthetases). tRNAs cope with the degeneracy of the genetic code in two manners: having more than one tRNA (with a specific anti-codon) for a particular amino acid; and 'wobble' base-pairing, i.e. permitting non-standard base-pairing at the 3rd anti-codon position. Lineage: Bacteria; candidate division WWE3. The record is from RNAcentral.